RNAcentral lists this non-coding RNA (28 nucleotides) under Drosophila melanogaster (fruit fly). Lineage: Eukaryota; Metazoa; Arthropoda; Insecta; Diptera; Drosophilidae. The record is from RNAcentral.
UGCCCAUAGAGACCGUCACCCCAGAAGC